Molecule: long non-coding RNA, 626 nt
Filed under: Setaria italica (foxtail millet)
Lineage: Eukaryota; Viridiplantae; Streptophyta; Magnoliopsida; Poales; Poaceae
Description: long non-coding RNA (SITA_LNC005779)
Source: RNAcentral
GGCUUUAGACUUCUGCGUUGAACAACACGGAAACUAACAGAUAUAAUUAAUGUCACGAGACAUAGAUUGGACUUAACCAACACAGUACGGCUAAGAGGGCAUUAACUUCGAUCUAUUAAUUUAAAAGUCUAGAAUAUGGCAGCAAGGACCUCUUGCCUACCACUUACCAGCCGAUUAAGCUAACAUAUCUAAUUAAUGUCAUGAGACGUAGAUUCGACUUAACCAAGACAGUACGGCUGAGAGGGUAUUAACUUUGACCCACUAACUUAACGGACUAGUAUGCAGCAGCAAGGCCUCGCAUGCUUGACCAUCGGCUUGAUGAUGUCAUCUUGCUACCAAGAGAUAUGGAUAAGACCCAUCCGAAGCAUCGGCUCUCAUCGUUAGUAUUUUGACGUUAAGGAUACAAAGGCUAGCGAUAUGAGAGGUAGGAGAAAAGAUCUAUCGAACCUAGCAUAUGCAAAGCAGAUAAAGUAUGCAAGAUCUAACAGCCGAUACAAUCAGAUAACUAGUGAAUGCUUAAACAUGGUCAAAAAGCUGAUAAAGACAACCUAACCAAAUCUAAACCGUUUGAUAACUGUGAGUGCUUGAUAAAACUAAGAGACUUAUAUGAUGCAGCUUAAUAAAAC